This 403-nucleotide ribosomal RNA is filed under the name uncultured bacterium. RNAcentral describes it as "partial 16S ribosomal RNA". It matches the Rfam family "Bacterial small subunit ribosomal RNA", at positions 30 to 526 of the family's 1533-position model. The record is from RNAcentral.
AUUGAACGCUGGCGGCAGGCCUAACACAUGCAAGUCGAGCGAGCGGCGGACGGGUGAGUAAUGUAUGGGGACUGCCCGAUAGAGGGGGCUAACUACUGGAAACGGUUGCUAAUACCGCAUACUAUCGGAUAACCCAUAUGGGAUUAGCUAGUAGGUGGGGUAAAGGCUCACCUGGGCGACGAUCUCUAGCUGGUCUGAGAGGAUGAUCAGCCACACGGGGACUGAGACACGGCCCAGACGACUACGGAGGCAGAAGUGGGGAAUAUGGCACAAUGGUGGCAAGCCGGAUGCAGCCCUGCUGCGUGUAUGAAGAAGGCCUUAGGGUUGUAAAGUACUUUCAGCGGGGAGGCGUUACCCGAAGAAGAAGAACCGGCUAACUCCGUGCCAGCAGCCGCGGUAAUAC